This 503-nucleotide ribosomal RNA is filed under the name uncultured bacterium. Its description in RNAcentral is "partial 16S ribosomal RNA". It matches the Rfam family "Bacterial small subunit ribosomal RNA", at positions 30 to 523 of the family's 1533-position model. The record is from RNAcentral.
AUUGAACGCUGGCGGCAGGCUUAACACAUGCAAGUCGAGCGGGGUGAUGGUGCUUGCACUAUCACUUAGCGGCGGACGGGUGAGUAAUGCUUAGGAAUCUGCCUAUUAGUGGGGGACAACAUCUCGAAAGGGCUGCUAAUACCGCAUACGUCCUACGGGAGAAAGCAGGGGAUCACUUGUGACCUUGCGCUAAUAGAUGAGCCUAAGUCGGAUUAGCUAGUUGGUGGGGUAAAGGCCUACCAAGGCGACGAUCUGUAGCGGGUCUGAGAGGAUGAUCCGCCACACUGGGCCUGAGACACGGCCCAGACUCCUACGGGAGGCAGCAGUGGGGAAUAUUGGACAAUGGGGGGAACCCUGAUCCAGCCAUGCCGCGUGUGUGAAGAAGGCCUUAUGGUUGUAAAGCACUUUAAGCGAGGAGGAGGCUCCUUUGGUAAAUACCCAAGAUGAGUGGACGUUACUCGCAGAAUAAGCACCGGCUAACUCUGUGCCAGCAGCCGCGGUAA